RNAcentral lists this ribosomal RNA (822 nucleotides) under uncultured bacterium. RNAcentral's name for it is "bacterial SSU rRNA". It matches the Rfam family "Bacterial small subunit ribosomal RNA", at positions 62 to 864 of the family's 1533-position model. The record is from RNAcentral.
UCGUGCGAGAAGGAGACUUCGGUCUCUGAGUAGAGCGGCGCACGGGUGAGUAACGCGUGGAUGAUCUACCCUUGAGUUCGGGAUAACGGUGCGAAAGCGCCGCUAAUACCGUAUAACAAUCCAUUUCAUCGUGGGUUCAAAGCAGGCCUCUUCAUGAAAGCUUGCGCUUGGGGAUGAGUCCGCGUCCCAUUAGCUUGUUGGCGGGGUAACGGCCCACCAAGGCAACGAUGGGUAGCUGGUCUGAGAGGAUGAUCAGCCACACUGGAACUGAAACACGGUCCAGACUCCUACGGGAGGCAGCAGUGGGGAAUAUUGCGCAAUGGGGGAAACCCUGACGCAGCGACGUCGUGUGAGGGAAGAAGGCCUUCGGGUCGUAAACCUCUGUCAGAAGGGAAGAACAUCCGGGAGUCGAACAGCCUCCCGGCCUGACGGUACCUUCAGAGGAAGCGCCGGCUAACUCCGUGCCAGCAGCCGCGGUAAUACGGAGGGCGCAAGCGUUAAUCGGAAUCACUGGGCGUAAAGCGUGCGUAGGCUGUUUGAUAAGUCAGGCGUGAAAUCCCUCGGCUCAACCGGGGAACUGCGUUUGAUACUGUUGAACUAGAGUCCUGGAGAGGGUGGCGGAAUUCCUGGUGUAGGAGUGAAAUCCGUAGAUAUUAGGAGGAACACCGGUGGCGAAGGCGGCUACCUGGACCGAUAUUGACGCUGAGACGCGAAAGCGUGGGGAGCAAACAGGAUUAGAUACCCUGGUAGUCCACGCCGUAAACGAUGAGAACUAGGUGUUGCGGGUAUUGACCCCUGCAGUGCCGCAGCUAACGCAUUAAG